RNAcentral lists this ribosomal RNA (585 nucleotides) under Callulina stanleyi. RNAcentral's name for it is "partial 16S ribosomal RNA". It matches the Rfam family "Bacterial large subunit ribosomal RNA", at positions 1796 to 2620 of the family's 2925-position model. The record is from RNAcentral. Lineage: Eukaryota; Metazoa; Chordata; Amphibia; Anura; Brevicipitidae.
UCGCCUGUUUAUCAAAAACAUCGCCUCUUGAUUCCUAUAAGAGGUCCAGCCUGCCCAAUGACUCAUUAAAUGGCCGCGGUACCCUAACCGUGCGAAGGUAGCAUAAUCACUUGUUCGUUAAAUCCGGACUAGUAUGAACGGCCCCACGAGGGUUUCACUGUCUCCCUACUUUAAUCAAUUAAACUAAUCUCCCCGUGAAGAAGCGGGGAUCAAAACAUAAGACGAGAAGACCCCAUGGAGCUUAAAACCCAAAGCCAAAUACAAAACUUUUUCACAAAAACCUCGUAUACCUGGCCUCUGGUUUUUGGUUGGGGCGACCGCGGAGUAAAACACAACCUCCACGAUGAACAUUUUACUUAAGAGCCACACCUCUAAAGAUCCUAAAUAAGACAUCCAUUGACCCAAAACAUUUGAUCAACGAACCUAGUUACCCUGGGGAUAACAGCGCAAUCCAUUUCAAGAGCCCCUAUCGACAAAUGGGUUUACGACCUCGAUGUUGGAUCAGGGCAUCCCAGUGGUGCAACCGCUACUAAAGGUUUGUUUGUUCAACAAUUAAAGCCCUACGUGAUCUGAGUUCAGGCCGGA